This 550-nucleotide ribosomal RNA is filed under the name uncultured bacterium. RNAcentral describes it as "bacterial SSU rRNA". It matches the Rfam family "Bacterial small subunit ribosomal RNA", at positions 355 to 896 of the family's 1533-position model. The record is from RNAcentral.
UAGGGAAUCUUCCGCAAUGGACGCAAGUCUGACGGAGCAACGCCGCGUGAGUGAAGAAGGUUUUCGGAUCGUAAAACUCUGUUGUUAGAGAAGAACAAGUGCUAGAGUAACUGUUAGCGCCUUGACGGUAUCUAACCAGAAAGCCACGGCUAACUACGUGCCAGCAGCCGCGGUAAUACGUAGGUGGCAAGCGUUGUCCGGAUUUAUUGGGCGUAAAGCGAGCGCAGGCGGUUCCUUAAGUCUGAUGUGAAAGCCCCCGGCUCAACCGGGGAGGGUCAUUGGAAACUGGGGAACUUGAGUGCAGAAGAGGAGAGUGGAAUUCCAUGUGUAGCGGUGAAAUGCGUAGAUAUAUGGAGGAACACCAGUGGCGAAGGCGACUCUCUGGUCUGUAGCUGACGCUGAGGCUCGAAAGCGUGGGUAGCAAACAGGAUUAGAUACCCUGGUAGUCCACGCCGUAAACGAUGAGUGCUAAGUGUUGGAGGGUUUCCGCCUUUCAGUGCUGCAGUUAACGCAUUAAGCACUCCGCCUGGGGAGUACGACCGCAAGGUUG